AAGCGAACGGGCUGAGAAGGAAGCUGAAGAGAUGGAGUGGAGGGAACUGACUUCUUCCUCCUCAUGGUCCACUUGAAAUUCCAGGAAAAGGAACAGAUGUGCAAGGAAUCGCAGCCUGGAGAAACAUAGUGUAUUUGGAGACUUGCAUGUAAAUGGAUAAUAUAAACAGAAUGUCAAUCAACCUUCAUGUUGUGUCUACGCUCAAUCAUCCCUGAUGACCCUACGCUGACUACAGAUGCAGAAUUCAGCAAAAACCAAUGAAAAC
RNAcentral lists this long non-coding RNA (265 nucleotides) under Pan troglodytes (chimpanzee). RNAcentral's name for it is "long non-coding RNA NONPTRT016423". Lineage: Eukaryota; Metazoa; Chordata; Mammalia; Primates; Hominidae. The record is from RNAcentral.